GUUAGAGACGGCAGUUCCACGAUAAGUUGGCCACCAUGAAGAAAGUGGGCAGUUAUAAAGCAAUUAAGCAGUUUCUAAGCGGUUGAUCACGAAGAGAUCAUCAAGGGAAUAUAAAAGGAAGAAAAGACAUAGAGCAAAAGGACCCUGAAUCAAACACUCUCAAACAGAGAAUAUGUAAUUUCAAUUUCUUAGUUUAGACUUAAACAUUU
RNAcentral lists this long non-coding RNA (209 nucleotides) under Olea europaea (common olive). Its description in RNAcentral is "long non-coding RNA (OEUR_LNC005820)". The record is from RNAcentral. Lineage: Eukaryota; Viridiplantae; Streptophyta; Magnoliopsida; Lamiales; Oleaceae.